RNAcentral lists this ribosomal RNA (492 nucleotides) under uncultured bacterium. Its description in RNAcentral is "partial 16S ribosomal RNA". It matches the Rfam family "Bacterial small subunit ribosomal RNA", at positions 29 to 507 of the family's 1533-position model. The record is from RNAcentral.
AUUGAACGCUGGCGGCAUGCUUUACACAUGCAAGUCGAACGGUAACAGGCCUUCGGGUGCUGACGAGUGGCGAACGGGUGAGUAAUGCAUCGGAACGUGCCCAGAGGUGGGGGAUAACGCAGCGAAAGCUGUGCUAAUACCGCAUGUGAUCUGAGGAUGAAAGCGGGGGACCAAGCAGCAAUGUUUGGCCUCGCGCCUCUGGAGCGGCCGAUGUCAGAUUAGGUAGUUGGGGGGGUAAAGGCCUACCAAGCCGACGAUCUGUAGCUGGUCUGAGAGGACGACCAGCCACACUGGGACUGAGACACGGCCCAGACUCCUACGGGAGGCAGCAGUGGGGAAUUUUGGACAAUGGGCGCAAGCCUGAUCCAGCAAUGCCGCGUGCGGGAAGAAGGCCUUCGGGUUGUAAACCGCUUUUGUACGGAACGAAAAGGCUCUGGCUAAUACCUGGGGCUGAUGACGGUACCGUAAGAAUAAGCACCGGCUAACUACGUG